UCCUUUUGCCGUUCGAUCUUUCUUCCUCUUGCUUUGCACGUCAGUCCCCCGAGACCUUGUCCGCGAUUUUCUCCAAUUUUUAGGGAUUUCUCCUCUGUAAGUGGUCGCCGUGUGAUUCUAGAUGUCUUCCAGGGCUUCUUCUUCUAGCGGCUCUAGGAGUUCGUCCGUUUCGGUCUCCUAGAGUCCUCAGGCGGUAGAUGAACCGGUAGCUAGAGCUGAACCUCGUUCGAUUUUUACGCCGGACGCCAUUCUUUGUUCUCUGACUCCGGACGAACUCCAACUGAUAAGAGUUCAGUAUAGGAUUCCUUCGGAGUACGAACUGAAACUUCCUGGCCCGUCCGAUCGGGCUAGUGCCCCUCCCCCCGGCUAUUUCUGCCUGUACCAGGAGGCCUUCUGUACCGGACUCCGGCUUCC
This 414-nucleotide long non-coding RNA is filed under the name Elaeis guineensis (African oil palm). RNAcentral describes it as "long non-coding RNA (EGUI_LNC010691)". Lineage: Eukaryota; Viridiplantae; Streptophyta; Magnoliopsida; Arecales; Arecaceae. The record is from RNAcentral.